RNAcentral lists this ribosomal RNA (301 nucleotides) under uncultured bacterium. Its description in RNAcentral is "partial 16S ribosomal RNA". It matches the Rfam family "Bacterial small subunit ribosomal RNA", at positions 509 to 807 of the family's 1533-position model. The record is from RNAcentral.
CAGUCGCCACGGUAAUACGAAGGGUGCAAGCGUUACUCGGAAUUACUGGGCGUAAAGCGUGCGUAGGUGGUGGUUUAAGUCCGUUGUGAAAGCCCUGGGCUCAACCUGGGAAUUGCAGUGGAUACUGGGUCACUAGAGUGUGGUAGAGGAUAGUGGAAUUUCCGGUGUAGCAGUGAAAUGCGUAGAUAUGCGGAGGAACACCGAUGGCGAAGGCAAUCCCCUGGGCCUGCACUGACGCUCAUGCACGAAAGCGUGGGGAGCAAACAGGAUUAGAUACCCCCGUAGUCCCUGUCUCUUAUAC